CAGGAAGUGAUUUUUCUCCAUAAAAAUCACUAGGAGAAACUCAAAAUGGCUAUGUUUUGCACUGUUUAUGGAUGCUCAAAUCGGUCAAACCGAGAAAAAACAAAGAGUUUUUAUCGUGUAACAAAAGUUGUUUCUCAUACGGGGGGGAAUUUCAAGGAAUUGACUGAAAAAUGUAGGAAAAAAUUGUUUGAAAACCUUCAUCUUCUCUUCGGUUGGGAGGAGCCGAGUCAGCUAAUUUAAUGCUUGUGUGUGCAGUGACCAGUUUGUCAGAGGCUGCCCUAGUGCUUUAAAUGAUGUUGAGUCUGUAGACUGGGCUCCUACACCUCGGUUAUCAAAAAUGUAGGCCCACGCCAGAAGCAUUGCGUAAACGAACAGAGAGGUCGAUCAACAUAGACACGCAGAAGCUGCAGAGGCCUUGCUGGAUCUCCGUGAGUCAGCUGAGGACACAUAGCAAGAGGACAACACAGAGAUGUUACCUGAUCAACAAGAUGCAGAAUGCCAGACAGACCUAACCAUGGAUGGCAUUGAGAGGAUGAAAGAUGUUCUCAAACACACCACAACACCACACUGGGUGAUCUUAGAACUAAAGCACUUGACAUCCAAUUCAGCCAAGAGUCUUUUCAGAAGAACGAAGACUUGACAAAGUUUUACACUGGACUCCCUAACUUUUUGGUUUUAAUGCAGAUUUUUCAGCUGUGUGAGCCUUAUAUCACCUGUGGAUAUUUGUCUGUGCUUUCUAAAUUUGAACAGUUAAUUGUAAUUUUGAUGAGAUUGAGACUAAACCUUCCUCUGAAAGAUUUGGCUUUCAUGUUCAAUGUCUCUUACUCCACUGUUUCCAGAAUUUGGCACAAGUUAAUUGGCAUACUUCAUGAGAGAUUGGAGUUUUUAAUUGAGUUGCCAGAGUGACAUGUACUUCAAGCCACAAUGCCAGUGCCAUUCAGGCAAGCGUUUGGAUGUAGAGUUUUGAAUAUAAAUGUCAUGAUUUGAAAUGGUCAUUAAAUGAAUAAACUUUGGAUGUUAAUGAUAAAUGAUAUAUAAUACUUUGGUAGACUACAUGAUAGCAUAACAGUACACUGUGUUUUUAGUGAAUUUUGUAUAUAACCUAAGGGCUAAAUUCAAUCAAAAGCUACUGUGGUGUCAUGUAAAGUUCCCCACAAACAAAUAAAUACCAAAUUAGCUGUAAUAAGUUGGGUUAGUUGAUGAAGGACAAUUGAUCUAGCCUCAGUGGACAAAUAUAUAUAGCAGAACAGUGCUCUGCCAUGUGCCACAGUAGCUUUUUUUGAAUUUACCUUCAGACAUAUUAAAUUCAGUAUAAUUUACAAAGUGCACACUGUUUUAGUUCUUUUAAGUAACCACCAAUACUUUUUUGUUGUAGAAUUUAAUCUUUUUUUUAUUUAAUCUCCUCAGCAAACAUCUGCUUGCCAACAAAGAUACAUUCAUGUUAUUCAGUGUUUUUCUUUUGCAAAAUAUGACUGAAUCAAGUGCCUGAGCUGAUGUAAGGUAGUGUCCUUUAAUAAUAUUACAUGUCAAUAUGUUGUUUUGUAACUUUCUGUCCCAACACUUCAGGAAGUAUACAGUUUCUGAAAAAAAUCUCAACUCUGGCAAUCACAUCAUCCCAAAAGCCCAUGUCAGGUAUAAUCCUUUCCAAAAAAAAAUGUCAUUAGAGUUCCACAGUAGAAAAUUGCACAAUGUGAAGCUGUGCCUGGACUUGGUAGUAGUAAGCAUGGCUCCAGUCCAGUGUUAUCUCAUCCCCAUCUUUGAUAAAACAGAAU
This is a long non-coding RNA of Cyprinus carpio carpio, 1772 nucleotides long. The record is from Ensembl. Lineage: Eukaryota; Metazoa; Chordata; Actinopteri; Cypriniformes; Cyprinidae.